UCGGCUGCCACUUACAGAUGGGCCCGCGGCGCAUUAGCUAGUUGGCGGGGUAACGGCCCACCAAGGCAACGAUGCGUAGCCGACCUGAGAGGGUGAUCGGCCACACUGGGACUGAGACACGGCCCAAACUCCUACGGGAGGCAGCAGUAGGGAAUCUUCCGCAAUGGACGAAAGUCUGACGGAGCAACGCCGCGUGAGUGAUGAAGGUUUUCGGAUCGUAAAGCUCUGUUGUUAGGAAGAACAAGUACCGUUCG
This 254-nucleotide ribosomal RNA is filed under the name Heyndrickxia coagulans. RNAcentral describes it as "Bacillus coagulans partial 16S ribosomal RNA". It matches the Rfam family "Bacterial small subunit ribosomal RNA", at positions 208 to 462 of the family's 1533-position model. Lineage: Bacteria; Bacillati; Bacillota; Bacilli; Caryophanales; Bacillaceae. The record is from RNAcentral.